GUAGGGAAUAUUGGACAAUGGGGGGAACCCUGAUCCAGCCAUGCCGCGUGGAGGAAGACUGCCCUCUGGGUUGUAAACUCCUUUUAUAUAGGAAGAACCGUCCUCAUUAAUGAGUGACCUGACGGUACCAUAGGAAUAAGCACCGGCUAACUCCGUGCCAGCAGCCGCGGUAAUACGGAGGGUGCAAGCGUUAUCCGGAUUCACUGGGUUUAAAGGGUGCGUAGGCGGAUAAAUAAGUCAGUGGUGAAAUCAACGGGCUCAACCUGUUAACUGCCAUUGAUACUGUGUAUCUUGAAUAUGAGAGAGGUAGGCGGAAUGUUGCAUGUAGCGGUGAAAUGCUUAGAUAUGCUACGGAACACCGAUUGCGAAGGCAGCUUACUAUUUCGUAAUUGACGCUGAGGCACGAAAGCGUGGGUAGCGAACAGGAUUAGAAACCCGAGUAGUCC
This 446-nucleotide ribosomal RNA is filed under the name uncultured bacterium. Its description in RNAcentral is "partial 16S ribosomal RNA". It matches the Rfam family "Bacterial small subunit ribosomal RNA", at positions 354 to 796 of the family's 1533-position model. The record is from RNAcentral.